Molecule: small nucleolar RNA, 76 nt
Organism: Erpetoichthys calabaricus (reedfish)
Lineage: Eukaryota; Metazoa; Chordata; Cladistia; Polypteriformes; Polypteridae
Source: Ensembl
GAGAAAUGAGGAUAAAUGAAUGAAUCUUGAUUCUUCUAAUGAAGACUUCAGAUCCAACUCUGAUCUCACCAGAGCU